GUAAAUGAGGAUGUGUGCCUCAUGGUAAAUGUGCUACAUUAUAACACCUUGAAGAGGAGAGUGAUAAUUCUGCUGGGGCAGACAUCCAGGACGGAGAAACUCUUUGGAGAGAAGGUAAUGCUUGAGCUGAAUUUUGAAAGAUGAGUAGGUGUUUGUUUGCUAGGCAAACAAAGAUGGAAAGAGUGCUCCUGGCAGAAGAAUCAGUGAAUGCAAAGGCCAGGAAGCAUGAAAUAUCCUGGCAUUUUUGAGGAACUGCAAGUCAUGCAGUUUUGUAUAGUUUGAGGUUGAGAAGAGUGGGUGGAUGAGUGGGUAGAAGGAAAUGAGAAGCUAGACGAGAAACGCAUCUGAAAAGGUAGGCUGGGGACUGUGUACUGAUUUCUUCUAUGCUCUGAGGAGGAGAUUGGGCUUGGUCCCAUAGGCAAGUGAGAGUCUUUAAAGGGGUAAAUAAGGGAGCUUUUGAUUAGGUUUGAUUUUUUUAGCAGCAUGGAGGAUGGAUUGGGAAGAGGGCAAGACAGGAGAUAAGUCAGAUUUUUUAAAAAAAAUUAGUAACUUGAUUUGUAUAAAAAAUUGUUAUUAAAUUAAUAAUUUAUUACAACAAUUCAUUUAAUAUUUUUUCUUUUGUUACAUUUAUAUAAUGGUAAUUAAAAUCAGAGAAACUUAUUUUUGUCUACAUGUGGUAUUAUUAUAUAGAAAAUGUCCAAUUUCUGUCAUAAUUUUUAGAGAAUUUGUGCAGCUGCAUGUUGAGACCUGCCAGCCAGAUGGUCCCUUUGACAUUUUGUGAGCUUGUGACUAAAACCCACAGGAAGCUCUUUUUCCCUUCACUGAUGUUGGAGAGUAGUCCAGUUAAGAUAGCAUCUAUGUUGAUAUUAUCAACUACAGCCUUAGUUAGUUCUCAGUGAGUCAGGUGUGCUUAGAAGUUGCAGCAACCAAACUCCACCCAAAGCUGGUGGGUUUAGGUGUGAGUCAUAUGAACACCAUGUAGAGAUACGUGUAUUGUAUAAUGAAGACAUCACUAAAAAUGAGAGAGAAAACUGACUCAAGGUCAGUGUGUCCUUGGAAGGCCAACAGCAUAUUACUGUUACUGCAACUACUCAUAUUUUUAUAGAAUUUUCUAGGUCACAAGUUAUCUUUCCAAAUACUUGGUAAUCCCCAUAGUAUGGAAAAUGUCCACAAGAUAGUUAUUUUCUUUCGUCGUAUGUGAUUCUGUAACACCAGAUACUUUACACUUUAGUGAAUGUCAAGUGACAGAACAAGAUCAAUGAAAACAAAAUCUGGUCCUAGAACACAGCCAAUACUCAAUGUUUAAAAUUCUCACAUGCUGGAUGAAGCAUACGUGAAAAGUGGAAUAUAGCAGAAUAUCUGAGUACCUCUUUUCUUUGAAGUUCAGUUGGCAAAGUUUCAGGAAAGGCAGGGAAAACACUGGUAGAAUUCCGAGUUGCACAGUCCUAAACCACCACAACUCUAGAUAAAUUAGAAGCAACUAUGGCUGAAAAAUCAGGCAAGGGAUGUCAGGUUUGAGUCAGCUUUAUUGGCAGAAAGCGCCACCCCUCAGUCUAGAAUGCAACUUCUUCAGGCGUGGUUGAGACAUUCACCAAAAUAGGAUCAAUUUUAAUUGUCCUCAGGAUGGAAAGGACCAUCCUGUCAGUUCAACAUCAUCAUCUUCCAUCUUUCUCCUACACAAAGAUUUGGUUCUUCUUUAACACUCAAGAAAAAUGUCAUUGUUUCCUUGAAGCCUGGAUUCCAGUCUAAUGAGAAGAGAUAGUUUCUCCUUUCUUGUGAUAGGCACUUCUAAAUGUUAAAUGAGUACAGCAGUAGUAUCCUGAAAAAGAUAAACACACUUAUCUGCUCAGAUGUCUUUAUAUUCUUACACAUUUAGGACACUUUAAUCUGAAGACAGAGUUAAUUUGAAAUAUCUUAAACUUUCUUUUUCUCUUUCUGGUUCCAUUUCAGUUCAGUUUCUCCUUUAAAUACUUCUCUUUCUUCUAAGUACUGUCACCAGACAGUUAUCAUAUUCAGAUGCUUUAGUGAGGAUUUUUAUUUUCAUUUGCAUUCUCUGGUCAAUUUUGAGAUGGGUGUCUGCUUUGCCAUGAUUAGUAUGGAAAGGAAGCAGCUGUGAGUAGGGAAGUGCUAGCAAUGAGGAUUUUUGCUUUUUAUUUUUUUGCUGUUGGUAGAAAUUGUCUAAAUAACAGGUGUCUAUCCUCAUAAGUGUGAGAACAUGUUAUUUUUAUCACUAUGAGGGCCAGAUCCAGCCUCUAGGUACUCAUCUGAACUCAGAGAGAAGUCAGCUGUACUUAGAGCCCUGAGAGUAGAUUUCACGUAUGUAUUUCUGUGUUUUGCCCUUCAAUUGCUUCCAUAUGUAAAAAUUCUAUUCCUUAAGCAUUUCUACCAACCUUUGCCACAGAUCUCAUGAAUAUAAACAUACCAUUGGCUUUGACAUAAUACCAAACUUCCCUUCAAAAUGAAAACAGACUAUUGGCAUUUAGCACCUACAGUUCUAAGUAACAGAUGAGGUAAGCCCAGCCAUUCUGAAAAACACAAACCCUCUGUCACUCUUCUCCUACCCAGCCCUGAAAAUGCCUGAUGCUGGGCUGAAACACUUGCACAUUCCAAAGAUACAUAAGAAGUAUUUUAUGCUAGUGGCAAUGCACUAGUUGCAACAUGCAAGAUAUUAAAACCCUUUCUUAUUCAUUAUUUUAAUAUAAAGUGACUGAUUAUGUGGAAUGGGAAAUCCUAGUGUGUGAAUGCACAGGAAAGCACAGAGCCGUGCUCCAUGCAUGACUCUGCUUGACACAUUCAGAGAUCAGAUGGCAUAGCAAAUUGCUCUCCUUCCAAUCAUUUAGGUCAUAGCCCUCACUCGCUGUGAGUACAUAGCCUUUUAAUUUAGCAGUGCAGUUUCUCUACCUAAAACAGCAUGAGCCAAGCAAAGUCUGACUAUAAGAAAAACACAAUGUACUGAUUGCUACAGUCCCUUUGGCAUGUUUUGCUGAGCCAUACUGUAAAAGGAAAAAGGAAUAUGACUACUAGGUGCCACUGGGCAAGUAUAGAGACAGAAUUCAAAAGAGAUAUAAUGAUGAUUCCCAACUUAUUGAAGAUGGAAUGGAUGGAUGUAUAUUUCAUAAUCUUUGGUACCUAAUUCCAGGAGAGAUUACAUUUUUCAUUUAGAUUUAAAUUCCUUGCUGCCAAUAGCAAGUUUUGGCAUACUUAAAAGCAUGUUUAACUAGCAUGUUUGGCAUGUUUAAAAGCAUGUUUGGCAUGCUUAACAGUGCUAUGCUCAUUGUAGGCAUUCAAUAAAUGUUUUACUUGGUUUGAAAGCUUUAUCUAAAAAUUAGUUCUCUAGCUAAUAUAUCUUCUAUUGACAGUAGUUACCGAGAACAGAAGUGGUGUCUUUGUGUCAUCUGUUUUAUCAAAAUGCUUUAUGCAUCAUAGUCUCUUAAAUAUUUUUGAAUUGAAUUUUAUUGUAUUAAAAUUAAAGAAGUUUUUGUUUCCAACAAACUUAGAUUAACAAGGGGCUUUCAUAUGCAUCUAGUUUUUAUUUAUUUUUUAGUGUUUUCACAAAUAUGUAAAUUGUGCUGCUUAGUUGGGAUUUGAUUUGUCUCUAUCCCUCAACCACCCCAAUCCCAAUAUAAAACAAUAUUUUGCUCUACCACAAAAACAGAGCCUGAAUUUUUCAUUUUUUUCCAUCCCAAUUACUGUUAGCCUAGUCUGAGCCACUUGGACACUCUCCUUGAGGAUUGUAAGCCUCCCCACUGGCUCCGGUCCUACACUCCUGUCCCCCAGCCCUUGAUCUCAGACACUGUGGCUGGAAGCAUCUGAAAAAGAAAAAGAACAAAAAUACAAUUUCAUUCUCCAGUCUGACAUCCUCCACUGACUUCUGCUUUGACACAGAAUCAGGUCUGAGGUCCUUACUGGGGCCCAUGAGGAACUCUGUCUUUGGCCCCUCCUUGUUCACCUCCCUCUGCCACUGUCCUGCUGCCCCAUCAUCUUCAUUCUGUUUUUUCAAGGGUCUGUGUUUGGUCUUCCUUCUUCAGGACCUUGGAAUUUGCUCUUCCUUCUGCCUGAUGUGCUCCUCCUUCACAUUUUUGUGUGGCUAGAUACUUGGCAAGAUUCAGGUCUCAGCUCAAAGCUCACUCCCUCAAAUGGCUUUUGCUACCCUACUCUCUGAACCCUUGUGUCAUCCCCUCACUGCUGUGUCACCAUGGUUUAUUUUCAUUAUAGCACCCAUCCUCAUCUGAUACUUAGUUUGUUUUUUGUCUUUCCCCUUCAACUAGGAUUUAAAUUCCAAGAAAGCAAAGACUUUGUUGGUCUUGUUUAUACCAGUAUAUAGAAACAUUAAAAAAAAUUGUUGAAUGAAUAAACAUUAAUUUUUACAGGGAAGAUUUUGACUCUAGCAAGUAAGGAAACAUAAUGAAAUCAUACUGCUUCUGUUGAUUCCCUUUAAACAGAACAUCCUAUUAAAGAUCAUUUAACUUAUUUAAAAGUACUUAUUCCUCAACUGUUUUCUUUUGAUAUGUUGGGAAUUAUCCUAUUGAUCCAAACUUACAAAAUAUAGUUCUGAAGACUUUUAUGUAUUCAGAGAUAUAGAGAAAAGAUUCAAGAGAUUUGGCUUUGAGUUUCUCUCUAUAUAUACAACACACACACACACACACACACACACACACACACACACACACACAAGUACUGUUUUCCAGUGUAGAAAAAAAGGAGUGAGUGAAACCAACCACUUUCUAAUUUGGUUUAAUGUUUUCAAAUAUCUUGAUCUAAAUUUCAAGCUGGAGAAUACAUAAAUGCAUGUACAUACAAAUGCAUAUAUACAUUUAUGGUUAUGUAUUUAUAUAUAUAAGUGUGUACAUAUAUAUAUAUAUAGUUUGUUCAUGACAUGUUAAUAAAGAAUUAUUAGAUGGUACAGUACCAACAGAGUACAAUGUGCAUUUAUGAUUCUUAUUAACAUGAAAAACUUGUGAGAAACAGAGUAAAAUUCAGCAACAAAAAGUACAGAGCAGUAUGUUUUAGAAUAAAAUGAAUUAUUAUUAUUUUUACCCAUUUAAUUACCUAAAGUCAUUCUAAAAUAUUUUAUGCUGGGUUUAUAUAUUAUGGUAGGUAGUUGCAUGUAUAAUGUGGUUUUGGUUUAGUUUUUUUUUUUUUUUUUUUUUUUUUACUAGGACCACAGCAUACAGAGCUUUCCUUACUGUAUCUCCCCAUCCUAAUAUGUCUCUAUACCACAUGCCAUACUAUCUGAAGUUGCACCAUUGCAGAGUCAUUAUAUUGGGCUUAAGUCUUAUUAUUCCGGGUCCUUCUUUGAGACAUCACUACUUUUUUUUUCCCCAAGUAGUUUGUCAGAGCUCUGGGAUCCUGAUCUCAAACUGUAAGGAUGGUAGAAAGAGAGACACAGCUGGAUGGUACUGGAAUGACAGACGUUGCCAGGGAGAUGGGUCACAUAUGGAAGUGUGAGCACCCGCUGCUGGGAGGGUGUGCAGCAGUCAGUAAAAGCAGAGUGUGGCAAAGAUCGGCCAGCAGCUGCUGAAGACAAAUCCACCUGCUUCAGGCAGGCCCUGUCAUCACACUUCUUUUGGUGCUAAGCCCAGAUCUAUAGGGACUGAUUAAUGCUGAGUACCUUCUGGUUUGUACAUUUUAUGAUCCUACUCGUUCCCUACUAUCACAUUCCCUCUCUUAACUAUAGUCCCACACUGGUGACCCAUUGUCAUCUUAUCUCCUGUGAUUCCUGAUCCUUUUCCUCCAUACUCAUACAUCUGGCUCUAUCCUAUCUCGUAAUUAGGUAACCUUUUUAUCUGGGGCACCAGAAUUUCUUUUCUUUUAUAUUUCUUAAAAUGAAAAGACCUGAAUAUAUGAUUCUGUCAGUAUGAGCUCUGCUUAUAAUAAAUUGAACUGCCAACCUGAAUGAAACCUACAUCCAUAUAAGAACUUAAAGAUCAGAGUUUGAAAGUAGGCAGUAAUAUAUUCAGCCAGCUUUUGAGUACUUGGGAUUGGCAUCAGGAACAAAGGAGAUUACAGAAAAAAACAAUGCAUCCAGGAAUAAACAGUGAGAAGCCGCAGGCAGAGUAUGUAAAGUAUAUGAUAAGAGAAACCCAAGCAGGUGGUGAAUGAAGGAAGGACAAAAGACCCUGCCCACCUUCAUCCAUCUCCCAUUAAAUAAAACA
This 6155-nucleotide long non-coding RNA is filed under the name Sus scrofa (pig). RNAcentral describes it as "lncRNA (ENSSSCG00000054964.1)". Lineage: Eukaryota; Metazoa; Chordata; Mammalia; Artiodactyla; Suidae. The record is from RNAcentral.